This 501-nucleotide ribosomal RNA is filed under the name uncultured bacterium. RNAcentral's name for it is "partial 16S ribosomal RNA". It matches the Rfam family "Bacterial small subunit ribosomal RNA", at positions 899 to 1397 of the family's 1533-position model. The record is from RNAcentral.
ACUCAAAGGAAUAGACGGGGGCCCGCACAAGCGGUGGAGCAUGUGGUUUAAUUCGACGCAACGCGAAGAACCUUACCUAGGCUUGACAUGCAGGAGAAACCCCUCAGAAACGGGGGGCCCUCUUCGGAGUUCCUGCACAGGUGCUGCAUGGCUGUCGUCAGCUCGUGUCGUGAGAUGUUGGGUUAAGUCCCGCAACGAGCGCAACCCCCGUUCCUAGUUGCCAGCGGGUAAAGCCGGGGACUCUAGGGAGACUGCCGGUGCCAAACCGGAGGAAGGUGGGGAUGACGUCAAGUCAUCAUGGUCCUUACGUCUAGGGCUACACACGUGCUACAAUGGCCGGUACAGCGGGACGCGAGACUGCAAAGUGGAGCCAAUCCCAGAAAGCCGGCCUCAGUUCGGAUUGGGGGCUGCAACCCGCCCCCAUGAAGCUGGAAUCGCUAGUAAUCGCGGAUCAGCUACGCCGCGGUGAAUACGUUCCCGGGCCUUGUACACACCGCCCGU